AAAUAGUUGCGUUAGCGAUUGAAACGGCAUUCUUUUUGCCUUUUCGCAAAAAGAUAUAGUGUAAAGCGCGACCUUUA
RNAcentral lists this small RNA (77 nucleotides) under Polaribacter sp. KT 15. RNAcentral describes it as "Flavo-1 RNA". It matches the Rfam family "Flavo-1 RNA". The record is from RNAcentral. Lineage: Bacteria; Pseudomonadati; Bacteroidota; Flavobacteriia; Flavobacteriales; Flavobacteriaceae.